Molecule: ribosomal RNA, 753 nt
Filed under: uncultured Glomeromycotina
Lineage: Eukaryota; Fungi; Glomeromycota
Description: SSU rRNA
Rfam family: Eukaryotic small subunit ribosomal RNA
Source: RNAcentral
GGCCUACCAUGGUGGUAACGGGUAACGGGGUGUUAGGGCACGACACCGGAGAGGGAGCCUGAGAAACGGCUACCACAUCCAAGGAAGGCAGCAGGCGCGCAAAUUACCCAAUCCCGACACGGGGAGGUAGUGACAAUAAAUAACAAUACAGGGUUCUUUUGGAUCUUGUAAUUGGAAUGAGUACAAUUUAAAUCUCUUAACGAGGAACAAUUGGAGGGCAAGUCUGGUGCCAGCAGCCGCGGUAAUUCCAGCUCCAAUAGCGUAUAUUAAAGUUGUUGCAGUUAAAAAGCUCGUAGUUGAAUUUCGGGAUCAAUAUAUCGGUCGUGCCUCUGGUUCGUACUGGUAUCAUUGAUUUCUCCUUUCUGACGAACCAUGAUGUCAUUAAUUUGGUGUUAUGGGGAGUUAGGACUGUUACUUUGAAAAAAUUAGAGUGUUUAAAGCAGGCAUUAGCUUGAAUACAUUAGCAUGGAAUAAUGAAAUAGGACGUUUGACCCUAUUUUGUUGGUUUCUAGGAUCGACGUAAUGAUUAAUAGGGAUAGUUGGGGGCAUUAGUAUUCAAUUGUCAGAGGUGAAAUUCUUGGAUUUAUUGAAGACUAACUACUGCGAAAGCAUUUGCCAAGGAUGUUUUCAUUAAUCAAGAACGAAAGUUAGGGGAUCGAAGACGAUCAGAUACCGUCGUAGUCUUAACCAUAAACUAUGCCGACUAGGGAUCGGAUGAUGUUAAUUUUAUAAUGACUCAUUCGGCGCCUUACG